This 381-nucleotide ribosomal RNA is filed under the name Triticum aestivum (bread wheat). RNAcentral describes it as "partial small subunit ribosomal RNA". The record is from RNAcentral. Lineage: Eukaryota; Viridiplantae; Streptophyta; Magnoliopsida; Poales; Poaceae.
AUGGCAGGCAAGGCAUCCAUCGCGCUGUUCCUCGCCGUGAACCUGGUCGUCUUCUCCGUGGCCAGCGCGUGCGGUGGAAACUGCCCGACCCCAUCGACGCCCACACCGACCCCGGCCGCGUUCGGUAGGUGCCCACGCGACGCGGUGAAGAUAGGCCUGUGCGUCAACGCGCUGAACCUGGUCAAGGCCGAGCUGGGCGCGCCGCCUACGCUGCCCUGCUGCCCGCUGGUGAAGGGGCUCGUCGACCUGGAGGCGGCCCUGUGCCUCUGCACGGUGCUUAAGGCCAACGUCCUCAACAUCGUCAAGCUCAACCUCCCCAUCGACCUCAGCGUCAUCCUCAACGACUGCGGCAAGAAAGUGCCCACCGGAUUCCAGUGCUAA